RNAcentral lists this ribosomal RNA (552 nucleotides) under Cutaneotrichosporon debeurmannianum. Its description in RNAcentral is "eukaryotic LSU rRNA". The stretch from base 158 to 311 matches the Rfam family "5.8S ribosomal RNA". The record is from RNAcentral. Lineage: Eukaryota; Fungi; Basidiomycota; Tremellomycetes; Trichosporonales; Trichosporonaceae.
AAUAUGGCCCCCUAUGGGGGGGGCCGGAAGGAUCAUUAGUGAAUUGCUCUCUGAGCUUUAAACUACAUCCAUCUACACCUGUGAACUGUUGAUUGACAUUCGUCAAUUACUUUUACAAACAUUGUGUAAUGAACGUUAUGUUAUUAUAAUAAAAAAUAACUUUCAACAACGGAUCUCUUGGCUCUCGCAUCGAUGAAGAACGCAGCGAAACGCGAUAGGUAAUGUGAAUUGCAGAAUUCAGUGAAUCAUCGAAUCUUUGAACGCACCUUGCGCUCUCUGGUAUUCCGGAGAGCAUGCCUGUUUGAGUAUCAUAAAAACACAACCAUUAGGGUUUCUUAAUGGAUUGGAUUUGAGCGUUGCCAUUAGCCUGGCUCGCUUUAAAAGAGUUAGCGUGUUUAACUUGUCGAUCUGGCGUAAUAAGUUUCGCUGGUGUAGACUUGAGAAGUACGCUUCUAAUCGUCUUCGGACAACUUUUUUACUUCGAUCUCAAAUCAGGUAGGGCUACCCGCUGAACUUAAGCAACAAAAGAAGAGAGGAAAGAAAACUCCCUUA